GACGAACGCUGGCGGCGUGCCUAAUACAUGCAAGUCGAGCGAAGUUUUUCUGGUGCUUGCACUAGAAACACUUAGCGGCGAACGGGUGAGUAACACGUAAAGAACCUGCCUCAUGGACUGGGACAACUAUUGGAAACGAUAGCUAAUACCGGAUAACAGUAUUUCUCGCAUGAGAGAUAUUUAAAAGUUGGUUAUGCUAACACUAUGAGAUGGCUUUGCGGUGCAUUAGCUAGUUGGUGGGGUAAAGGCCCACCAAGGCGACGAUGCAUAGCCGACCUGAGAGGGUGAUCGGCCACACUGGGACUGAGACACGGCCCAGACUCCUACGGGAGGCAGCAGUAGGGAAUCUUCCGCAAUGGGCGAAAGCCUGACGGAGCAACGCCGCGUGAGUGAAGAAGGAUUUCGGUUCGUAAAGCUCUGUUGUUAGGGAAGAAUGGAUAUGUAGUAACUAUACAUGUAAGAGACGGUACCUAACCAGAAAGCCACGGCUAACUACGUG
RNAcentral lists this ribosomal RNA (499 nucleotides) under uncultured bacterium. Its description in RNAcentral is "partial 16S ribosomal RNA". It matches the Rfam family "Bacterial small subunit ribosomal RNA", at positions 28 to 507 of the family's 1533-position model. The record is from RNAcentral.